UUUAAACUAUAAUCAAUAUCAAUAAACUACAAAAUAUUGCUUAUAAUUCAUUCAA
RNAcentral lists this unclassified non-coding RNA (55 nucleotides) under Moritella viscosa. RNAcentral's name for it is "putative sRNA". The record is from RNAcentral. Lineage: Bacteria; Pseudomonadati; Pseudomonadota; Gammaproteobacteria; Alteromonadales; Moritellaceae.